Long non-coding RNA from Sander lucioperca (pikeperch), 411 nucleotides. RefSeq lists it as uncharacterized. The transcript has 3 exons. NCBI's taxonomy places the organism in Eukaryota, Metazoa, Chordata, Actinopteri, Perciformes, Percidae. The record is from RefSeq and is a predicted model, not a curated record.
CGUUUCAGCCAAUCACGUAAGCGUAGUUUCGAGGGGAUGAUUUCUCACGUAGCGUUACAUCUGCGCAGUCCUACUAGUCACUCUGCAAUUAUGAGUUAGAACCAAACGGCUUCCCUGCUGGAGGUCAACCCCCGAGUGAAAACAUAACAUGUUUAGCUUUUCGUUGCUGCUUCCCUCACCAUUCAGACACCAACCUGUUCAUGCCAGGAAGGUUACCCCAGAAGUAGCGGGCGCGGUGGGCAGCAGACACUUCCUUGGCAUCGAUCAUCACUGGGUUGCACUGAAAUCCAAGUAAAGCAGAGAAGAAAAGACACCAGGAACCAAGCAAAAAAAAUCAAACUCACAUGUUUGCGUGUGACAUUCCUCACAUCACCAACAUACAUGAUGCGACCCUGAUGCCGGACGAUACCC